Molecule: ribosomal RNA, 477 nt
Filed under: uncultured bacterium
Lineage: Bacteria
Description: partial 16S ribosomal RNA
Rfam family: Bacterial small subunit ribosomal RNA
Source: RNAcentral
GACGAACGCUGGCGGCGUGCUUAACACAUGCAGGUCGAACGAUGAAGAAGAGCUUGCUCUUCGGAUUAGUGGCGAACGGGUGAGUAACACGUGACUAACCUGCCCCUUUCUCUGGGAUAACGCUCCGAAAGGAGUGCUAAUACCGGAUACUCACAUCGAGGCACAUGCCUUGAUGUGGAAAGUUUUUCGGAAAGGGAUGGAGUCGCGGCCUAUCAGCUUGUUGGUGAGGUAACGGCUCACCAAGGCGACGACGGGUAGCCGGCCUGAGAGGGCGACCGGCCACACUGGGACUGAGACACGGCCCAGACUCCUACGGGAGGCAGCAGUGGGGAAUAUUGCACAAUGGACGAAAGUCUGAUGCAGCAACGCCGCGUGGAGGAUGACACAUUUCGGUGCGUAAACUCCUUUUAUAAGAGAAGAUAAUGACGGUAUUAUAUGAAUAAGCACCGGCUAACUCCGUGCCAGCAGCCGCUGUAA